GGGGGAUGGGACUGCAUGGGGUGGUCACUUGCCUUGCAAGCAAGAAAACAGAUGGGUUCGAUUCCCAUAUCCUCCA
This 76-nucleotide transfer RNA is filed under the name Caudoviricetes sp. RNAcentral's name for it is "tRNA-Ala". It matches the Rfam family "tRNA". From Rfam's summary of the family: Transfer RNA (tRNA) molecules are approximately 80 nucleotides in length. Their secondary structure includes four short double-helical elements and three loops (D, anti-codon, and T loops). Lineage: Duplodnaviria; Heunggongvirae; Uroviricota; Caudoviricetes. The record is from RNAcentral.